AACAAAGUAUGGAGAUUGGUGCCAAGGCUAUCGGGGGACCACAACGUCAUUGGAACCAAGUGGAUCUUCAAGAACAAGCAAGAUGCUCAUGGGAACAUCGUUCGCAACAAGGCAAUAUUAGUAGCACAAGGCUACUCCCAAGUCGAGGGUAUCGACUACGGUGAAACCUUUUCUCCCGUUGCUCAUCUUGAAUCCAUACGUUUGUUGAUUGCUUAUGCUUCCCAUCACAACUUUAAGUUGCAACAAAUGGAUGUGAAAAGUGCUUUUCUUAAUGGUCCUAUUAAUGAGUUGGUCUAUGUCAAGCAACCCCCCGGGUUCGAGGAUCCCUACUUCCCGGAUCAUGUGUAUCAACUCGAUAAGGCACUCUAUGGCCUUAAACAAGCCCCACGUGUGUGGUAUGACCAC
This 405-nucleotide ribosomal RNA is filed under the name Triticum aestivum (bread wheat). RNAcentral describes it as "partial small subunit ribosomal RNA". Lineage: Eukaryota; Viridiplantae; Streptophyta; Magnoliopsida; Poales; Poaceae. The record is from RNAcentral.